CCUGCAAUCAAAACAAUUAACAUGGUCGAUCCGAUCUGCGCGAAAGUCAUCCAAACAACAAAAAUAUUUGCUCAUCAAAGCACCUGUGCAGAUUUAACGGGAUAUAAUCACUUGUUUACCAACACUGAAUGAUCAUAAGCAAGCUCGUACUCGUAUUCAAGGUAUAGUAAUCAUAAGGUAAGGUUGGGGUGCACAUGUUUAUACAGGAAGCCAUGCAGAUCGGCACGUACCACCUUUACUAAUAAUACCCUGCUUAGCGGUGAUUACCUUUUUUACUUUUGGCGGUACGAACCUUUGUCGUUAAACAAACACUAAUAAAAUUUAAUGAACUUGCUGCUGCCCUGCUUUACCUAAUUUUAUGUUUAAUAACUAAGUUGUUUAGCUUCUAUUCCGAAUACGGGGAGCUCAAAUUAUGCAAAGUUAUUCUAGAGUGCGUCUUUGGGUUGUUUUGACGCGUUUAAAUGAGAAAUGGAGUCCUCUGAGAUAUCUUGCGUGGACUAAAACACGUAUGUAACUUAGGUGUGGUGACUGGCGAGAAUCACAUGAAUACGCCCCCAAUCGAUGACACAGAGACGCCCCCGUGAAUGGACUCACUUGCCAGCCAGCAGCACAAUCACAUUGGAAGGCCCUGUAUUCGUCGUAGCAGGUACCUCCGUUCUGGCAUGGGCUCGACAGACACUCGUCCUUGGCCAGAAAGACUAGUAUUCUCGCCAGAGUGGUCGAAACACGCUCUACCCGCUGGAGCUGCCGUCGCAGGACCCGCUGGUUAAGUC
Long non-coding RNA from Drosophila pseudoobscura, 773 nucleotides. RefSeq lists it as uncharacterized. The record is from RefSeq and is a predicted model, not a curated record. Lineage: Eukaryota; Metazoa; Arthropoda; Insecta; Diptera; Drosophilidae. The transcript is spliced from 2 exons.